AAAAUCUAUCAGUGUUUUUUCCUCCUUUUUUUUCUUUUAUAUAUUGAACAAGUUUUAGGAAAUGCUGUUUUACUUACUAGCAAUAAUAACCCUACACACCAUCAACACGGACAUACAGGAAGCAAGCCAAAAGUUGAUGUACAUAGUUUAAUUAAAGAUCUUAUAGCAAAGGAAGAUGAAGUGGCUGAUUUAGAGAAAUCAAAUUUAAAAUGUAAAAUUAUUGCUACGGUUUUGGGAAUACUAGCUACUAUUGCAUCAGUCGUUGCUGGUGUUCUGGCAUAUAAAUGUGCCUUUAAAAAAGGAGAGAGACAAUAUAAAAGCGGUUUUGAUGGUACUAAUGAUGAUGGUGGUAGUGGUGAUGGUGUUGGAGGUGGUAGUGGUGAUGGCAGUGGUAGCAGUGGUAGUGGUGGAGAUAACAUAACUCCACUAUUGUCAGAUAAAUGAUGUAAAAUAUGUGCUGAUACAAAGAUAAACACGUAAGGUUUAUGUAUAUAUGGGCUUUGGUAUAUGUAUAGUGAUUAACAUAAACACACGUACAAUACAUAGUUAAUCAUAAAAUUUUCUUUAUAUUUUUGGUAUAAUUUGGUAUAUAUAUGUAAUUUUCAUUUUCUCAUUUAUUUUACUAAGAUCUUAUUUUUUUAAUUUUUAUUUUUAUAGUGAUAGGAAUAAUUUAGGAAAUAGGACCUUUAAUUUAUAUAACUUGGCUACCUACAAAGUAUAUUUUAUAUUAAUUGUUAGGUUUUCAAACACGCCAGUAUAUAUUUUUUUAUUAUUAAUAUAAAGAAAUGUUGCAUGUACAUAUAUAUAAGCACUUAUUUUGUAAAAGUUACUGCUUCUUUUAAGAUAAUAAUGUGUUUUUUUUUUUUUUUUUAUAAUAAUUUUUUUUUUUUUUUUAUAUUGUACUAAUGAAAUGUAUUUGGUUGUAGUGAUUUUAACGGUAUAUAUACAUAUAUUCAUUUAUUUAUUGUUAUUUUUUUUUUUUCUAUAUUUAUUUUUACUUAUCUAGUAAUUUUUUUUAAUUUUAAUUAAUUUUUAUAUUGAUUUUUUUAUAUACUACUAUUAUUAUUAUUACUAUUAUUAUUUUAUUUGAUAUUUCUUUUAAUUUUAAUUUUUGGCAUAUUUUACUAUUUAAAAGGAUUUUUAUUUUAUAUAAAACUGUUUGAUGGGUAGUGUUUCUCUUCUUUUAUUAAUUUUUAUUUAUUAAGAAUUAUAUUAAAUGAUAUGUAAAAAAAAAUAAAAAAAAUAAAAUUCAGUUUUUUUUCUUCUUU
RNAcentral lists this long non-coding RNA (1268 nucleotides) under Piliocolobus tephrosceles (Ugandan red Colobus). RNAcentral's name for it is "lncRNA (ENSPTEG00000026563.1)". The record is from RNAcentral. Lineage: Eukaryota; Metazoa; Chordata; Mammalia; Primates; Cercopithecidae.